UUUGGACAAUGGGCGCAAGCCUGAUCCAGCAAUGCCGCGUGCAGGAUGAAGGCCUUCGGGUUGUAAACUGCUUUUGUACGGAACGAAACGGCGAGCUCUAAUACAGGUUGCUAAUGACGGUACCGUAAGAAUAAGCACCGGCUAACUACGUGCCAGCAGCCGCGGUAAUACAA
Molecule: ribosomal RNA, 173 nt
Filed under: uncultured bacterium
Lineage: Bacteria
Description: partial 16S ribosomal RNA
Rfam family: Bacterial small subunit ribosomal RNA
Source: RNAcentral